GUGGGGAAUAUUGCACAAUGGGCGCAAGCCUGAUGCAGCCAUGCCGCGUGUGUGAAGAAGGCCUUCGGGUUGUAAAGCACUUUCAGCGGGGAGGAAGGCGAUAAGGUUAAUAACCUUGUCGAUUGACGUUACCCGCAGAAGAAGCACCGGCUAACUCCGUGCCAGCAGCCGCGGUAAUACGGAGGGUGCAAGCGUUAAUCGGAAUUACUGGGCGUAAAGCGCACGCAGGCGGUCUGUCAAGUCGGAUGUGAAAUCCCCGGGCUCAACCUGGGAACUGCAUUCGAAACUGGCAGGCUAGAGUCUUGUAGAGGGGGGUAGAAUUCCAGGUGUAGCGGUGAAAUGCGUAGAGAUCUGGAGGAAUACCGGUGGCGAAGGCGGCCCCUGGACAAAGACUGACGCUCAGGUGCGAAAGCGUGGGGAGCAAACAGGAUUAGAUACCCUAGUAGUCC
This 449-nucleotide ribosomal RNA is filed under the name uncultured bacterium. RNAcentral describes it as "partial 16S ribosomal RNA". It matches the Rfam family "Bacterial small subunit ribosomal RNA", at positions 354 to 796 of the family's 1533-position model. The record is from RNAcentral.